Molecule: unclassified non-coding RNA, 148 nt
Organism: Callithrix jacchus (white-tufted-ear marmoset)
Lineage: Eukaryota; Metazoa; Chordata; Mammalia; Primates; Cebidae
Rfam family: Metazoan signal recognition particle RNA
About the family: The signal recognition particle (SRP) is a universally conserved ribonucleoprotein. It is involved in the co-translational targeting of proteins to membranes. The eukaryotic SRP consists of a 300-nucleotide 7S RNA and six proteins: SRPs 72, 68, 54, 19, 14, and 9.
Source: Ensembl
GCUGGGCAUGGUGGCACAUGCCUGUAAUCCCAGCUACUCAGGAGGCUGAGGCAGGAGAAUUGCCUGAACCCAGGAGGCGGGGGUUGCGGUGAGCCGAGAUUGCGCCAUUGCACUCCAGCCUGGGUAACAAGGCGAAACUCCGUCUCAA